RNAcentral lists this ribosomal RNA (248 nucleotides) under uncultured Lachnospiraceae bacterium. RNAcentral's name for it is "partial 16S ribosomal RNA". It matches the Rfam family "Bacterial small subunit ribosomal RNA", at positions 524 to 771 of the family's 1533-position model. The record is from RNAcentral. Lineage: Bacteria; Bacillati; Bacillota; Clostridia; Lachnospirales; Lachnospiraceae.
UACGUAGGGAGCGAGCGUUGUCCGGAUUUACUGGGUGUAAAGGGAGCGUAGACGGCAUGGCAAGUCUGAUGUGAAAACCCGGGGCUCAACCCCGGGACUGCUUUGGAAACUGUAUAGCUAGAGUGCUGGAGAGGCAAGCGGAAUUCCUAGUGUAGCGGUGAAAUGCGUAGAUAUUAGGAAGAACACCAGUGGCGAAGGCGGCUUGCUGGACAGUAACUGACGUUGAGGCUCGAAAGCGUGGGGAGCAA